RNAcentral lists this small nucleolar RNA (126 nucleotides) under Sorghum bicolor (sorghum). Lineage: Eukaryota; Viridiplantae; Streptophyta; Magnoliopsida; Poales; Poaceae. The record is from RNAcentral.
AAGCAAAGGGGCCAGAAGAGUGUCGUCUUUGGUUGAGGUUGGCUAGAACAAACUCGAUCCUGCAGUUCUUUGUGCUGCGCAGAUUUGCCUCUGUUUUUGUGAUGGCCUGGAACAAGAUGCUACAUC